This 253-nucleotide ribosomal RNA is filed under the name uncultured Acidobacteriota bacterium. RNAcentral's name for it is "uncultured Acidobacteria bacterium partial 16S ribosomal RNA". It matches the Rfam family "Bacterial small subunit ribosomal RNA", at positions 524 to 776 of the family's 1533-position model. The record is from RNAcentral. Lineage: Bacteria; Pseudomonadati; Acidobacteriota.
UACAGAGGGGGCAAGCGUUAUUCGGAAUUAUUGGGCGUAGAGGGCGCGUAGGCGGCCUUGCAAGUGACGGGUGAAAUCCCUCGGCUUAACCGAGGAACUGCCUGUCAAACUGCGUGGCUUGAGACCAGGAGAGGUGAGUGGAAUUCCCAGCGUAGCGGUGAAAUGCGUAGAUAUUGGGAGGAACACCAGUGGCGAAGGCGGCUCACUGGACCGGUACUGACGCUGAGGCGCGAAAGCGUGGGGAGCAAACAGG